Molecule: long non-coding RNA, 207 nt
Filed under: Lathyrus oleraceus (garden pea)
Lineage: Eukaryota; Viridiplantae; Streptophyta; Magnoliopsida; Fabales; Fabaceae
Description: Pisum sativum (pea) long non-coding RNA (PSAT_LNC024332)
Source: RNAcentral
UUUUUAAAUUAAAGAAAUAGGGAGAAGAUGAAGAGACUAAUCCUAUGCAAAAAAAUUAAAAGUUAAGAGUUGAAAAGAUCUGACCAAAUGGAUAGUGAUCCAAUAGACAAGAAUUUCAAUAGAAACCCAGAAUUCCCUUGGACUUUUUAGAAUCAAGCAACAAACAAAUGCACAAUUAUAUUAUCUUGAAGAGCAAAAGCAUCAAAU